AGAAGAUAUAGUUUCAAUUUAAUGCUUUUUUUUAUUGAAAAUGCUUAAUAAAUUAAACUAGAUUGUGACAUUAAUACAACAAAUAAACACUCAUAACAGUAAUAUUUUGAAUUGAAUGAGUAUGAACAAGUGAACAUGGAUAACCCCUAAAAAUCAAAUAUUAUAUAGUGGACAAUGAGGGUUUCCGGCCAUCUGGUCGAAUGGGUCGUCUCGUUUGGCAUAAUUUUGUUCGAAAGAAUUCAGAUAAACUUUUUGCCAUUCUAGCAAGCAAUAGUGUAGCGGCUCGGGCAGUGGCCGGUAUUUUAGGCACGUUUCGCUAUAACUCAGUCAAUUCCAAACCAAUUGACUUGAAAUUUUGUACACAUGCUAUACGUUCCAAAAAUUGUGUCAAUUGGUUCAAAAUUGUUUGAGUUAUAGCUGAAAAGUGCCCAAAAUAGAAGCCCUGUUGAGAUGGUUUCACGUCCCUAUGAUCGUGAGAAGUUUUUCCUUCUUUUAAUCAUAGGCUAUUCUUUCUAGUUUUACCAUUCAGUGUUAAGUUAAGCCCUGAAACUGACACUAUUUCAUCAGAGAUUUUUCCUUCUGCAAAUCAUGAUCUGUUCUUUAGGGUUUUACUGAUGUGGAGAACAGUCGCAUAAUGACUUAAGUUCAAUAUUCCUUUUUUGGCCAAGCGGCAUUCGCCCAAAAGGCCCGAAACCGACAAUAAGAUAACCAAAAAUUUGAAACAUAUUCGGUAUUUGUUCAAGUUAAACCUGACGAUCUAACUCUAAUCAUUUUAUAAACUAAAUCAGAUCGUGCAACACUGUACCUGUACCGUUGACAAGUACACCGCAAGAAUUCAAAGUUCUGCGUUCGUUUAAAAAAACAUUAUCUGUUUGAUGAAAAAUCAAUCGAAUAGAGGAGAAUAAAGAAGGGGGAUGGGGGAGAAAGUGUUCCAAGGCGAAAUUAUUGGAAUUUCCGCUAAGGUGUGGAAAGAAGAAAAAUACAUGAUCUACGCCAGAGAGUCUACCUUGGUUUGAAAGGGAAUGACAAAAGUUUCCUCUGGAAAAUUUUGUGCAAAAAUCUAGAUAGAGAAAUCGUAACGUUUUUCUUCCCCUAUGAAGAUUUAGAGAAUAUAUCAGUGAACAUUUUGCUAGAAGACAACUUUCUAGUUGGACUUCUAAUAUGGGCGAUAUUAAAUUUCGAAACGAUUUUUUUUUAAUCUGUAUUAACCCUCUAAUACCCAACCCCGCCUUUAGACGGAGUAUAGUUUGAGCAUUUUUGUAAUUUUUGUUUCGUGGGAAAUCAAAAUUUUUAUAUUUUUGGCAGAUAUUUAGGACUGUUUUGUAUAUCUCAAAAUGUUUUUUGGUGUAUUUUAAAGCGUAUUUACAUUUUUGAAAAAUCUAUGAAAAAUUGAUGUUUUGGUCACCUUUUAGAAGUCAAUGUUUAUUUUGUAUUGAAACGCAACAAUUAACAUAUUUUAAUUUUUUCCCAAAUCAUUCUACCCUAGUUUAAUAGUUUAAGGGAAUCGAAUACACUCUAAAAUUAUUUUCCUUAAAAUUACACGGAAAAUAAAAUUUUAUAUGAAAAAAAUAAAUAAAAUAAAAAUAUUUCUACAAUAAUCAUAAAAUCUCAAAAUGUUCUCAUCUCAAAAAAUCCGUACCCCAAAAAGGCUUCCAGGAAAAAUAUAAAAGUGUGGAGAUGUUCAAAAAUAAACAUAAGAAAAAUCAAAAACUGAAAUUCACGAAAUCAAGAAUUAAAAAGAAUCAUCUUCCAAAACAUGUUUAAAUCGAUUUUAGAUGACGAAAAAUGGUAUUUAGAUCAAAAUCAAAAAUUUGGGUAUUAGAGGGUUAACGAGAUUUUUAGCCCUAGGCUAGUUCAUCUCGGGACCCACGCUUUAACUUCCCUUCCGAAGGAAGAACUCACAUUUUGUGAGUUUGUCGGGAGUGGGAUUCGAUCCCAGGUCCUCGACGUGAUAGCCAAGUGUUCUAACCAUCACACCAGGUCCGCUUUCGAAACGAUGAACAUUUAAUACCGAAUGAUUUCUGACAUCUUUAUUUGGCAUCACUGCACGUUAUAUGUGUGGCGAAUAUAAUCUUUGGCGUCACCACCCGCCGCUGGAUGGAAGCGCAAGUGUUCUAUAAAAAUGGUAUAGUUUGGAUCGUAAAUAUUUUACGAUAUCACUUCGAACAAUCUUGGUAUCUUUGGCAAUGUUGUUGGCUUGUUCAAAAGCAGAUCAUUGAUGGUCCAAAUCAUAAGCAAAUCAAUCGUUGUUGAAUUCUUAAUGAUUUGGAUCAUCAAUCAACAGCUCUUGUCAAAGCUAACAACUUUGCCGAAGAUACUAGCCAUAAAAAUUAUCGCAUUUUUAAGAUACACAAAUAUACGUUUAUGCAAUUCAGCAUCAUAAUUUUUAAUAUAUAUAACUCAUUUCGGUAUCAUAAUGACUAAACUUUCCGCACUGGUUCAUUAUGCAACUGAAAUGAAACGACGGGCUUGGUGGUCUAGUGGCUACCGCUUCUGAUUCCUUCUGCAUAGGUUCUGGGUUCAAUCCCUGGCCCGUCUCUUUCCUCCUACUUUAUCUCUUUCUCUUCUCUACAUAUAUAAUUCAUUAGAGUGGGUCAUCCGUUAUAUGGAAAAAUGUAAAAUUUGAUGGCAUCAAAGCAUUUGGGGUCCCAUUUCAGGACUCAAAUAACUGUGCAAAAUUUGGCCACGAUCGGUUAUGCCUACGUUUUGUGCAUCGCGUUUGAAAUUUAUAUGGGGUACUUUUUUGCAUUUCUCUCAUUAGAAGCACGAAUUUUUCUAAAACCAUAUAACCGAUCAUGUGAAAGCAUAGCCUAGGGUGUCCUGAAAAACGUUUUCGAAGACCACGAAGUAAUCUGAUGCUUUCGAAAAAAGUUAAAGCGUUGGCAUUGCUUGUCGAAACAGCAUGAUUUUGGUGCUAUUGUUAUUCCUUUACAUGUUAAAACUUUAACACAUGCAUGCGGUUUGUUGUAUAUAACUUUUUUUACAAGCAUCGGAUCGCUUUGCGGUCUUCAACAAAGUUUUUUUUUUUUUUUUUUAUCUGUAUUAACGAGAUUUUUAGCCCUAGGCUAGUUCAUCUCGGGACCCACGCUUUACUUCCCUUCCGAAGGAAGAACUCACAUUUUGCGAGUUUGUCGGGAGUGAGAUUCGAUCCCAGGUCCUCGGCGUGAUAAUUCAACAAAGUUUUUCAGAACAUCCUAAGCUAUCAUUUUAUAUUAUUAUUGGUCAAAUAGUAGGCAAACUUUUUUAACUUAUGACAAAAAUGCAAAGAAGUAUGUUUUCCUAUACAAAAUCCCAUACAAAUUUCAAUUGCAAUGCGCAAAGUGUAGACGCAACCGAUCUUGCUCAAAAUUUGCAAAUAUACUCAGGACCCGAAACGGAACCAAAACAGCAUUGAUCUGAGAAAACGGUUCCGAUGACCCACGCUAUACAUUGUAUAUUCAUAAGUUCAUAGCCAUCGCUAGAACAGAAACGGGAUGAAAAUAAACCGUUUUCUUUCCUUCCAACUUUGCUAACACAAUGUCAAUCUGUCAUAUAACGCCUACGAGUUAUGGAAUCAAGCGAAUUGUGCCGCAAUAUCUUCAGAGUAAUGAAUACACUAAUCUAUCACCUUACGCCUGGCAUUUACGCACCAAUGUGUGAGCCCAUUGCCAACCAUACCUUACCAACACUCCGACAUCCGCAUGAAUUUGUGCAAACGCAGGGGUACAUUCGGUCUGAUGUGGAUAUAAACGAUUGCAAUCAUCACUUUCUUCCCCUUCCCGCAUUGACCUGUAACCUGACGUGGCAGGCGCCAUUGUCGCUUAAAAAUAGAAGAUCACCAACACUCACACACUGAAAAUGCCUGCUUAGUCAUCGGCAGAUUCUCAUUGGUUCCUUGUGUGAAUGUAGCUGGUUUGGUGAUACUGGAGUAACAUCCACGGGUGGUCAAUCAAACUCAAGCUCAAACUGAAGGUUAGUAUCGCAGCUAAUAGUACAAGCUUACAAAACCGAAAUUACUUUCAUAAUUUUUCGUAAUUUGACGAAGUUUGGCAAAAAUAAGUAAUUUUCCACUAAAUUGAGCAAAUCUCAAAAGAAUGACUGACGUUUUUCUUCAUAAUUUGUUAGUUACAACACCAAGCUUUGGAUUAAGCAUAAAUUUGUUACAUAUCUCUUCAAUUUUCACCGAUUUCUAAUUAAAUGUGCAAAAAUGCGGAAAACGCUGAGUACCGCUGCCGUAGGUGAUAGUUACCACCCUCUUCCAUUCGUAAAAGAUGCAGUGAUGCCAAAUAAAGAAGUUAGAAAUCCUGCGUAAAAAAGGUUCAUUAUUUCGAAACCUAAUGGCCCCCUUAUUUGAAGUCCAACUAGAAAGUUGUCUUCUCACAAAAUGUUCACUGAUAAAUCUUCAGAGGGGGAGAGAAUUUUUAGUUCUGCUUUAAAGUACCUUUUUUGAGACUUUGGAAAGUCUGCUUUCCCCAUACUGGAUAAAUAAAAUUCCCAUAUAAAACUCAAACUCAAGUGUGGACUAGCUUACCGUCUUUUUAGAUUUUUGUUUUUAUUUUUUUUUAUUUGGGGGUUUCAUUUGAACCCAUUUGCAACUAUUUGUGACUAUGCGAUUAUGGAUUUUGUGAAAUCAACUAAAAAGGGUCUUAAAGACUACAUAGGGUAAACUAAUUAUUUAUACGAAACAGAAUGGAUCAAAAGUACACUCAUUGCACAAUUAUGGGUCACACACAAUUAUUAGUCACUUUCCACUUUAAUAGAUAAAUACUAAUUAAUUGCAAGCUUUUGCUAGCCAUUAUCACUUUUCGUUGAUGAGUUGAUUUGUUUUAUGUCACUAUACGUAUCGCACACGGGCUUAUACGUCAAAACAUACAUAUUUUCGGUAAUUUUUUGUUCGGCGUAAAACCAUUUUUCAAAGAAACGCUUCGAUUGUGAACAUCAUAAAGUGCGUGCGCUGCUUUCGUAAGCUCUGUAAAUGCGAGCUUUAGUGAUUUUCAAGUGCGAAAUGGUAUCGUCACCAGAACAAAGGUAUAAUUUACGUUCUAAAUGUAGAAAUUCAUGCAACUGCAGCUAAUCAAAGCUUAUUUCAGGCAAAAUUUAAAUGACUCAUUGUUGUGACAAGGAACACCGAAAAUCACACAAUUAUGGGUCACUUUUUGUGCAGCAUAAUAUUGACAGUUCUGCGUACAUGGGCAUUGCAUACUUUUAGGCGUUUAUCAGUGGUUGUGUUGGAGAUUUCGGCAAUCCCAAUUUUGAAAAAUUGAUUCCAAAUCGUUAAGAGGUUUAAGACCAGUUUUAGAUUCUACUAGUUGAUCUAUCUAGAAUAAGUGACCAUUCAUUGAAAAAAUAGACAAAACAUUAUUGUUCAGCCGAUUCCUCUUGAGUGACCCAUAAUAGGCAACAAAUUGAUCCAUAAUUGUUACACAGCCAAUUUUGACCCAAAAUUGUGGUUUUCAUUAUUCACCGACAUUUCAGUAAUUUUCACCGCCUAAAGUGAAUUUUACAAGCAGAUUUUUAUAUAAAACAAUAAAACUUUUUAUUGUUCCUAACUCCUUUAGGAGUUUCAAUGAAGUGAAUCUAUCUAUAUAUAUAAAAAUGAGUUUGUAGCUUCUUUGAGGCAACAAAACUCAUGAACGGCCGAACCGAUCUGCAAGACCCUUGCACGUUUCGAUUCGUAUUCAUGGUGGCUGUGUUUAUAUGUAUAAAAAGUUACGAAAAUCAACUAGAAAAGUAACAAAAUUGAUAGAGAACUGAUUUUCUAUGAGCUGGGAAGGAAAUCAACACGACCGAAAUAAAAUCAAUCUAGAGUGCGGUGCUAUUUCGAGCUCAACAGUUGUCAAACCACCAUAAGACGGCAAGACAAAGUUUGCCGGGACAGCUAGUAUAAAAUAAAAAUAAUGAAAGUGUUAUUUUUGUAUGAAAAACGAUUCAUAUUAUGAAAUGAUUGUUCCUUGAGUGACCCAUAAUUGUGCAAUGAGUGUACAUUAUUACUAAUUUUCUGAUCAUUUUUUCAUUGACUCUAACACAAUAUAUGAAAUUCGUUGGUUUUAUGAGCGUGUGUAAACUCAAAGUUUGGGUUGAUUUUUUAUCAUGCAGGUCACCAUUUGAAUCCCUAUUUAGUUAGAGUUAUCGAACUAAGGCCACGAGUACACGGGGACAAAUCGCCCCCUUAAUGCUAGAACUAGGUAACUCGUUUUGGCAGGUGCGGGUAAAAAAGACUGGUAAAACUUAUUCUGCUAUAAAACCAACUCUUUGUUGGUCUUAAAAGAUGAAUUAAUAUGUGUUUUUGUAGUUUCAAUUGACAAACUUUUGUUUAUUGUGAUGUACGUUCAGAUAUAAACAAAUUUCUCGCGAUUUCGCAAAACCAGUUACCAGCUUUGAACUAACAAGAAAUCAUCUGGUUUACACUCAUGAAAAUUUGAUCGAUUCAAACAGGUGUUUGAGCAUAAUUUUCAUCAACUUUCACAUAAUUCAUCGCGUAAUAUCUCUAAAAUUAAUGUUUAACACGUCCAAAACUUCAGAUUUCUAUGAAGGGAAAAUAUAGACCAUUCAUUUGAAGUUGGAAAGUUUUUGGCUGGCAGCUUGAAUUUGGCCGCUGUUUCGUAUUUUAUCAUUACGGCGAAACUAGAAACGCUUUGUCAUUUUUUUGGUUUUAUUUUAUGUUGAACGGAACAAAGAAUCGGUUUUCAUACACAUUUAGAGUAAGGAUCAAGGUGUCUCCCGAACUGUCCUGGUGGAAAGUAUUUCUUAUAUUUAAAAAAAACAUUUUUUUAAGGAAAUUCAGAAAAAAAUGGUUGAGGAAAACUGAUAAACAUUUUCCACUAGGAAAAAAAUCACGAAACACCUUGACCCUUUCUCUAAAACUGUACCUAUUUUGAAAAUAUUGUUCCGUUAUUUAAUGAACAUCCAAAACCAACAAUGAGUUUUGGUUUAAAUCGUGGCAUAGGUGGCGACACCAUCAAUUGCCAAAUUUUGAGUCAGUGGCUUAACACUUUCAAAGUUGGAAAACUUUGAAUGUCACAAUACAGUAAAACAAUUUUGCAUAUUGAGAAUGUUGGCUACAUAUACGACCAAAACUUUUUAUCCGUUUGCCAAAUCGAAUGAAAUUUUAAUAGAAUAUUUCUAUUUACAUACGCCACCUACAGGAAAAAAAUAUUGUAAUCGGUUCAGUAUUUCUGACUCAAGCGUUACAUAUAUGUUAAAUAUUUAUUAUUUUUUAUUCGUUAUUUGUACAAAAUUCUCAAAAUCUAAAUUUCUUGCGUCGGAGAUAUCUCCGACAAUACUAAACCAAUUCUGAUGAAAUUUGGAUGGCUUCAUCUACACAUAAUAAACUGUUGUUGGUUGGAAAAUCAGCCAUUUUGAUGCAAGCAAUCAAAAGUUAAACACUAUUUUUCAUGGUGCAAUUUGAGUUGGGACACCCUUUAGGACGCAAUCAGUGAAGUACUAGAUUGAAAGUAGUGAGCUGGAUUUUAGAAUGGUGAAAUGAUCAAUUCUCCAUUUCUGCAAUGACAUGGUGCAAACAGCGUGGGUAUUAUGAUUUCUUACCUAAUGUGAU
Aedes albopictus (Asian tiger mosquito) is the source of this 7534-nucleotide long non-coding RNA. RefSeq lists it as uncharacterized. The record is from RefSeq and is a predicted model, not a curated record. NCBI's taxonomy places the organism in Eukaryota, Metazoa, Arthropoda, Insecta, Diptera, Culicidae. The transcript has 2 exons.